Molecule: non-coding RNA, 1030 nt
Organism: Protopterus annectens (West African lungfish)
Lineage: Eukaryota; Metazoa; Chordata; Ceratodontiformes; Protopteridae
Source: the annotation of a RefSeq genome assembly
AAUCACAGAUAAUAUCAUUUUGAGAAACAUGGUUAGCUUCUGUGCUGCAUUUCUUAAAUUCUGCAUUUCUCUAAUCAUCAGAAAUGCUGUAUACAUUAGUCUUCUACUGACAGCAGGCAUCAUAAAUGGAGAUGAAGUAACACAAGAAUCGAGUAAAACUGCAUAUGAAGAGGGAGAUGCUGUCCUCCUCUGUAAUUUCACAACAACAGCUUCAAUAGCACAGCCAUACUUAUACUGGUAUCAGCAGAAAGCAAAUGGACCUUUAGAAUACCUAAGUUUACAGGUGUAUAAAUCUAAACCUGAUGCAAAGGAAGGUCGUUUCACGUCACACUUUGAUGUAUCCAAGAAUUUUGUGUAUCUGAAUAUCUCCAGACCCCAGCUUUCUGACUCGGCAGUUUACUACUGUGCGAUGAGUGACACAGUGAUGACAUCUUCACUAACAUGAAACAAGAACUUGUGCCAGGUGUUCAUGAAGAAAAUUUCAUUUUCUCUUUGAGAAGAAGCAGGGCAGGGACAUUCUUAAGUACAGUAAAUAUCAGAUGGCAUGACAAUCACCGAUGUUUGGAUUAAAAUAACACAGAUUAUUUCAGGAAGUGCUAUCACAGAAUAGUCAUCUUUUUAUCCUGUCAGUACUUUUAAAGUCUGCUCUUAUGACACAUUUUAAACUCAUAAAACAGCUUGUCAUUAAAACUGCACUGAAAAAUGGUUGAGACUGUACAGUGUUAGUGCUUUGAGUUUAAAUGGCUAUUAUUAUGUAAAAUCUACAUAUAUCCCAUAAUGUUAUGCAUUGUAAGAUACCUGCACAUAUCCUUCCCAUGAAGUUAGUAAUCCCUGACCACAGAUAUCUUACUGGUAGAUUCAUGGCUAAUCCACCUAAAUUAUUAUAGUUAUAAGAUGCACGACUAACCCAUCUAAAUUGUUAUAAGAUGCACAACUAAUUCACCUAAAUUUUAAGAUGCAUAAGUAAUCCAUCUAAAUUAUUACAAUUAUAGGAUGCAUAACUAUUCCACCUAAAUUAUUAUAAAAUGCA